UGAGAAACACCGUAUAACGGAAAGGUAAACAAAAUACAUAGAUGGUGAUGGCUCAAUGUCAAAAUAUGUGGAGAGGGCAAAAAAUAUCUUAAAAGAAUAAUACUCAAAAUAUUUAAAAGUAAAAUAUAAUUUUGACGCUGAAAUCGUAAAUCUCAGAACCAACAAAUGCUUAAUUGCAAAGUUAUUGAAAUUCAAUAUACUUUACAUCUGAGGCUCACUC
RNAcentral lists this long non-coding RNA (220 nucleotides) under Brassica napus (rape). RNAcentral describes it as "long non-coding RNA (BNAP_LNC017348)". Lineage: Eukaryota; Viridiplantae; Streptophyta; Magnoliopsida; Brassicales; Brassicaceae. The record is from RNAcentral.